CCUACGGGUGACAGCAGUGAGGAAUAUUGGUCAAUGGACGAGAGUCUGAACCAGCCAAGUAGCGUGAAGGAUGACUGCCCUAUGGGUUGUAAACUUCUUUUAUAUGGGAAUAAAAUGUUCCACGUGUGGGAUUUUGUAUGUACCAUAUGAAUAAGGAUCGGCUAACUCCGUGCCAGCAGCCGCGGUAAUACGGAGGAUCCGAGCGUUCUCCGGAUUUAUUGGGUUUAAAGGGAGCGUAGGUGGAUUGUUAAGUCAGUUGUGAAAGUUUGCGGCUCAACGGUAAAAUUGCAGUUGAAACUGGCAGUCUUGAGUACAGUAGAGGUAGGCGGAAUGCGUGGUGUAGCGGUGAAAUGCUUAGAUAUCACGAAGAACUCCGAUUGCGAAGGCAGUUCACUGGACUGCAACUGACACUGAGGCUCGAAAGUGUGGGUAUCAAACAGGAUUAGAUACCCUGGUAGUC
RNAcentral lists this ribosomal RNA (460 nucleotides) under uncultured bacterium. RNAcentral describes it as "partial 16S ribosomal RNA". It matches the Rfam family "Bacterial small subunit ribosomal RNA", at positions 338 to 795 of the family's 1533-position model. The record is from RNAcentral.